AACGAACGCUGGCGGCAGGCCUAACACAUGCAAGUCGAGCGCGCCCUUCGGGGUGAGCGGCGGACGGGUGAGUAACGCGUGGGAACGUGCCCUUUGCUACGGAAUAGCCCCGGGAAACUGGGAGUAAUACCGUAUGUGCCCUUCGGGGGAAAGAUUUAUCGGCAAAGGAUCGGCCCGCGUUGGAUUAGGUAGUUGGUGGGGUAAUGGCCUACCAAGCCGACGAUCCAUAGCUGGUUUGAGAGGAUGAUCAGCCACACUGGGACUGAGACACGGCCCAGACUCCUACGGGAGGCAGCAGUGGGGAAUCUUAGACAAUGGGCGCAAGCCUGAUCUAGCCAUGCCGCGUGAUCGAUGAAGGCCUUAGGGUUGUAAAGAUCUUUCGUGGGGGAAGAUAAUGACUGUACCCCAAGAAGAAGCCCCGGCUAACUCCGUGCCAGCAGCCGCAGUAA
This 449-nucleotide ribosomal RNA is filed under the name uncultured bacterium. RNAcentral's name for it is "partial 16S ribosomal RNA". It matches the Rfam family "Bacterial small subunit ribosomal RNA", at positions 29 to 523 of the family's 1533-position model. The record is from RNAcentral.